GUGGGGAAUAUUGGACAAUGGGCGCAAGCCUGAUCCAGCCAUGCCGCGUGGGUGAUGAAGGCCCUAGGGUUGUAAAGCCCUUUCGGCGGGGAAGAUAAUGACGGUACCCGCAGAAGAAGCCCCGGCUAACUUCGUGCCAGCAGCCGCGGUAAUACGAAGGGGGCUAGCGUUGCUCGGAAUCACUGGGCGUAAAGCGCACGUAGGCGGCUUGUUAAGUCAGGGGUGAAAUCCUGGAGCUCAACUCCAGAACUGCCUUUGAUACUGGCAAGCUUGAGUUCGGGAGAGGUGAGUGGAACUGCGAGUGUAGAGGUGAAAUUCGUAGAUAUUCGCAAGAACACCAGUGGCGAAGGCGGCUCACUGGCCCGAUACUGACGCUGAGGUGCGAAAGCGUGGGGAGCAAACAGGAUUAGAAACCCCAGUAGUCC
This 425-nucleotide ribosomal RNA is filed under the name uncultured bacterium. RNAcentral describes it as "partial 16S ribosomal RNA". It matches the Rfam family "Bacterial small subunit ribosomal RNA", at positions 354 to 796 of the family's 1533-position model. The record is from RNAcentral.